AAUCACUUGUCUUUUAAAUGAAGACCUGUAUGAAUGGCAAGACGAGGGCUUAACUGUCUCCUUUUUCCAGUCAAUGAAAUUGAUCUUCCCGUGCAGAAGCGGGAAUAGACCCAUAAGACGAGAAGACCCUAUGGAGCUUCAGACAAUAGAACCGCCCACGUCAAACAUCACAAGAUAAAGCUGAGUAAACUAACUGGCCCCUGUCCUAAUGUCUUCGGUUGGGGCGACCAUGGGGAACCACAAAACCCCCACGUGGAAUGAGAGCACCCCCCCCCCCCCC
RNAcentral lists this ribosomal RNA (280 nucleotides) under Brachirus annularis (annular sole). Its description in RNAcentral is "partial 16S ribosomal RNA". It matches the Rfam family "Archaeal large subunit ribosomal RNA", at positions 2040 to 2482 of the family's 2987-position model. Lineage: Eukaryota; Metazoa; Chordata; Actinopteri; Pleuronectiformes; Soleidae. The record is from RNAcentral.